This 444-nucleotide ribosomal RNA is filed under the name uncultured bacterium. RNAcentral's name for it is "SSU rRNA". It matches the Rfam family "Bacterial small subunit ribosomal RNA", at positions 26 to 518 of the family's 1533-position model. The record is from RNAcentral.
AGAGCGAACGCUGGCGGCAGGCCUAACACAUGCAAGUCGAGCGCCCGUAGCAAUACGGGAGCGGCAGACGGGAUAGUAACACGUGGGAACGCGCCCUUCGGUUCGGAAUAACUCAGGGAAACUUGAGCUAAUACCGGAUACGCCCUUACGGGGAAAGAUUUAUUGCCGAAGGAACGGCCCGCGUCCGAUUAGCUAGUUGGUGAGGUAAUGGCUCACCAAGGCGACGAUCGGUAGCUGGUCUGAGAGGAUGACCAGCAUCACUGGGACUGAGACACGGCCCAGACUCCUACGGGAGGCAGCAGUGGGGAAUAUUGGACAAUGGGCGCAAGCCUGAUCCAGCCAUGCCGCGUGGAUGAUGAAGGCCUUAGGGUUGUAAAGUCCGUUUAACGGGAGAUAUGACGGUACCGUAGAAUAAGCCCCGGCUAACUUCGCGCCAGCAGCCGC